AGUGAACGCUGGCGGUAGGCCUAACACAUGCAAGUCGAACGGCAGCACAGUAAGAGCUUGCUCUUACGGGUGGCGAGUGGCGGACGGGUGAGGAAUACAUCGGAAUCUACUUUUUCGUGGGGGAUAACGUAGGGAAACUUACGCUAAUACCGCAUACGACCUACGGGUGAAAGCAGGGGAUCUUCGGACCUUGCGCGAUUGAAUGAGCCGAUGUCGGAUUAGCUAGUUGGCGGGGUAAAGGCCCACCAAGGCGACGAUCCGUAGCUGGUCUGAGAGGAUGAUCAGCCAGACUGGAACUGAGACACGGUCCAGACUCCUACGGGAGGCAGCAGUGGGGAAUAUUGGACAAUGGGCGCAAGCCUGAUCCAGCCAGACCGCGUGGGUGAAGAAGGCCUUCGGGUUGUAAAGCCCUUUUGUUGGGAAAGAAAAGCAGCAGGUUAAUACCCCGCUGUUCUGACGGUACCCAAAGAAUAAGCACCGGCUAACUUCGUG
RNAcentral lists this ribosomal RNA (492 nucleotides) under uncultured bacterium. RNAcentral describes it as "partial 16S ribosomal RNA". It matches the Rfam family "Bacterial small subunit ribosomal RNA", at positions 29 to 507 of the family's 1533-position model. The record is from RNAcentral.